CAGUCGCCGCGGUAAUACGAAGGGGGCUAGCGUUGUUCGGAUUUACUGGGCGUAAAGCGCACGUAGGCGGAUUCUUAAGUCAGAGGUGAAAUCCCAAGGCUCAACCUUGGAACUGCCUUUGAUACUGGGGAUCUCGAGUCCGGGAGAGGUGAGUGGAACUGCGAGUGUAGAGGUGAAAUUCGUAGAUAUUCGCAAGAACACCAGUGGCGAAGGCGGCUCACUGGCCCGGUACUGACGCUGAGGUGCGAAAGCGUGGGGAGCAAACAGGAUUAGAUACCCGAGUAGUCCCUGUCUCUUAUAC
This 301-nucleotide ribosomal RNA is filed under the name uncultured bacterium. RNAcentral's name for it is "partial 16S ribosomal RNA". It matches the Rfam family "Bacterial small subunit ribosomal RNA", at positions 509 to 807 of the family's 1533-position model. The record is from RNAcentral.